CACAGUCAGUCUAAAAUGUUCAACCUUCAAACUGCUUGCCCAAGUGGAAACGUGGCUCCAUUCCAAACGAAAGAUACAACUACCUACGCGGCAUCUCUUGCUUUAAAUUUAGUAUCUUGACUUUCACGUAGUAGAGACGUUUGCAGCUUAACAGUGAGUCUGAAAUCGUAACCUACCGUAUUGUGCUUAGGAAGAAAGUUUGUUGCAUUGCGAAGUUAAUAACGUUAGCUCUGGUGUCAUAACACAACAGGGGCGAAUGACAAAGAAGAGACAGCCUCAGUCAGACGGAGACAUGUCCGCCAGUCCUAAUGACUCCUCAGAAGAGUCAGCGGUCGUUUUCCCACCAACUUACAUUAUUGUUCAAUUCUCAAAGCGUAUACGAGCAACAGCUUUGGUGUGGCUCGUGAAUAAAGUAUGUAGCAAGAGACUUGAUGGUGGAGCUGAACUUCUAGUAAGAAGACAGCCACAUCGCGACGGAGAGGGCGUGACCCUUCACGUUUCUGCUUCUAAAAUCAAGUUCUUGGAGGUGGCAGAGGAAUUAGAGCUGAAGAAACGUGACAGAUGCGGUCUGAUCAGAGAGUUUACAGUCAGUCAACUAGACGACUUCCUUGAGGAUGGAAUGCACGUGGAUGACUUGCUCACCACGGCAGAGAGGCAGUACAUCGUGAGACAUGAACUGGAGAACAUUCGAACCCUCAAAGAAGACGAUCAGGUGCCAGGGUACCCAGCUUUCCGUCUGUACGAGGGACAGUCCAUAGUUCAGAUGUGUCUUCAUUGGAAACUUGUGAAACGAAUGUAUCCCUUACACGAUAUGGAAGCACUGGAUAAACUAGGGAAGAAAUGGUACUGGGCAUUGUUUCAGAAACAACCAUUCGAGGAUAUCCGGUUAUAUUUUGGAGAAGCUGUGGCGUUAUACUUCACGUUCCUUGGCUUCUACACCACAGCCUUGUUAGUCCCGAUGUUCCUCGGAUUUCUACAACUAUUCCUGCCUACUGAGAGCAUUGCUUUCUUUUGCGUCUUUAACGUACUUUGGAUGACAGUAUUUUUAGAAGUAUGGAAGAGAAAAUGCAGUGAGCUAGCAUUUACAUGGGGCACCAUUGGUAUGACGAGUCUAGAUGAACCUCGUGCUAACUACCGGGGCGUAAUGGGCAUUGACGAGGUGACGGGUCGUUACCAGCCUCAGUUCCCUCGUUGGAAAACGAACGCCAGGUUAUACUGCGUCUCAUUGCCCAUUGUAUUUGUGUGUAUGGUCGGGGCAUUCUUUGUUAUGCUCGCCUCUUUCUGGGCAGAAGAACUUCUUUUAAACAUGAAGAAACAGCAAAGUUUGGAAGCUGGCGAGAUUGUGGUUCUGUUGCCAAGUAUAAUUUAUUCAGCUGUUGUGUUUAUAAUGAAUUCUUGUUACCGAAAGGUAGCAACAUGGCUUACGGAAUGGGAGAACCACCGGACUCAGUCGCAGUUCGACAGACAUCGCGUGACCAAGCUCGUUCUGUUUGAGUUCGUCAACAAUUUCAUGUCUCUGUUCUACAUAGCAUUUUAUGUCCAGGACAUGGAUAUGCUGAAAAAUCAAUUGGCUGUCAUGUUACUUAUUUUCCAAGCCAUAAACAACUUUCAAGAAGCUAUUCUGCCUCUUCUAAUAAAGUAUUACAACAAAAGAGUUACGAAGGCACUUAAAUUUGAUGCAAUACUUGGAAACAAAAAGACUGACGAAUCUGGUCGUAAAAAGAAGAGUCUUUCCGUGAACCACGAACCAAGUAGAGCAAUUCUAGAUUACAUUCCAGAGCUAGACAGUGAUGAUCCACGUAUAGAACUCGCGAUCUGCGAAGGAGAAAUGGAGGACUAUGAGGGAACAUACGAUGACUAUUUGGAAAUGUUCAUACAAUUUGGAUACGUGUUCUUAUUCUCGUCUGUGUACCCAAUGGCGGCUUUCUGGGCGGUAGCAAACAACAUUAUGGAAAUCAGGGCGGAUGCCUUCAAACUUUGUCGUCUGUACCGAAGACCAGUGGCGAAAAGAGUGAAGGACACUGGAGCCUGGCAGCGUGCGUUCGAAAUCGUGGGCGCGAUGUCCAUAAUGACGAACUGUAGUCUUCUCUGCAUGUCACCACAAUUGCGACGUCUCGCACCUACUAUGACGUCAGUGGAAUGGGUCCUCGUGUUCGUCGUUCUGGAACACAUGUUGCUUGGAAUCAGGCAUUUCCUUCACCUCGUGAUCCCCGACAGACCGGAGUGGGUGCGAGUAGCUCUAGCGAGGAUCAACCACUUGUCCAAACGAGCCCUUAAGAACGAGGUGAUGGAUUGGUGAUUUGUGUUGUGAUGUACCUUGUUUGACGGUGCACGAGACAAUUGAAUGACCAGACCGAUUCUACAGCAUGGUGUGUGUUUAUUGUCCCGAAACUUAAUAAACGUUAUCUUCUGGUUUCCGUUUGCUUUGUCAUCACAGCCCUCUAACAAUACGCAUUUCGUAAACUUUGUAUUUUUGUGCUCUUAACAAAAACGCAGAAAGAUCUUUCAAGAAUGCAACAAUUAGAACUGAACAAAGUUAACAGAAAUUUGUUCUUCCUACGUGUCUCUGCCUUAUCAUAACGGACUAACAUAUUGUUUGUAGCACAAGCCUCUGAAGAAGCUGAUGGUCCGCCUAUCUGAGAAUGCUGAAAAGUCGUCGCCAUAUUUUGCGAAGAUACAAAACUGUGCAUGGUUCACAUAAUUACAACAGCUGAAGCUUCCGUUUUGUUCUGACCGAAACAACAACAAGCUUUUACGCACAAUUUCUUCUUCAGUUGCAGUUGUUAACAAUUAAAUAGACAGGAACAGUUUCGGUGUAGGUUACACGCAAAGUAAUUUUACAUGCCGCCUGUAGUGAACCUUUCACAUAGAGUUCGUAAAUUUUGAGAAUUAAUACUUUUAAAAUCAUAUUUAUGUGAGACUGAGUUGCGUUAUCCCAGAUGUGAUUGCGAGUAAUUUAUUUAUUCGUGAUUUUUUGUUUUCACAGCUUUUUAAAUAAAUUGGCAAACCAAAUUCCAGUAUUCUUUUCUUCUUUACAAGUGUACGAAUAUACAGACGUCAUAUCUGUUUGUUGUAUUUCAUCUUGUCCACGCUACGACGUUCAUUAAGUAAGGUUUUCUUUCAUACUUUCGAAAUAAAGUGAGGUAUACUCAAUUAAGCACUACGCCGCACAGAAGUAUGGUACUUGAUAAAGAUUAAUUAUUAACUUUAUGCUUCGGCCGAUUUAGCCGUAAGGACUGAGGUCAGACAAUCAUCGGAUAGGAGGCCCCAAAAAUGGUCCGGACGUUUCGGCAAAAAAAUAUUUUUUUAUUACGCGAAUUAACCCUAGUUCUCGUACGUCGCAGAUUUGUUAGUCACUAUACUGACUGGAUGCGCGUAGCCUAUUUAGAGAACACUUAUUAGAAAUUAAUCAAAUUACUGGAAAAUUCUACGACGAAACGUGCCUUAAAUGUACCCAUUACAUUGUAAACAUAUGUAGUGAAGGGAUAUUAGUGAUACUUAACAUUGAACCAUGAUAUUACGUACAAUAAUAAAUAUUUAAAAAUAAAAACGUUAAUAAUCUC
Molecule: RNA transcript, 3563 nt
Organism: Zootermopsis nevadensis
Lineage: Eukaryota; Metazoa; Arthropoda; Insecta; Blattodea; Termopsidae
Gene: Axs
Gene name: Abnormal X segregation
Source: RefSeq, a predicted model, not a curated record